Molecule: ribosomal RNA, 75 nt
Filed under: Melaleuca preissiana
Lineage: Eukaryota; Viridiplantae; Streptophyta; Magnoliopsida; Myrtales; Myrtaceae
Source: RNAcentral
UCGNAGUUAAGGGUGGUUGGGGGAGAGUAAUAAUAGGAUGGGUGACCUCCUGGGAAGUCCUUGUGUUGCACCCCU